RNAcentral lists this ribosomal RNA (590 nucleotides) under Salmonella enterica. Its description in RNAcentral is "partial 23S ribosomal RNA". It matches the Rfam family "Bacterial large subunit ribosomal RNA", at positions 1200 to 1781 of the family's 2925-position model. Lineage: Bacteria; Pseudomonadati; Pseudomonadota; Gammaproteobacteria; Enterobacterales; Enterobacteriaceae. The record is from RNAcentral.
CUGCGGCAGCGACGCUUAUGCGUUGUUGGGUAGGGGAGCGUUCUGUAAGCCUGUGAAGGUGUGUCGUGAGGCAUGCUGGAGGUAUCAGAAGUGCGAAUGCUGACAUAAGUAACGAUAAAGCGGGUGAAAAGCCCGCUCGCCGGAAGACCAAGGGUUCCUGUCCAACGUUAAUCGGGGCAGGGUGAGUCGACCCCUAAGGCGAGGCCGAAAGGCGUAGUCGAUGGGAAACGGGUUAAUAUUCCCGUACUUGGUGUUACUGCGAAGGGGGGACGGAGAAGGCUAUGUUGGCCGGGCGACGGUUGUCCCGGUUUAAGCGUGUAGGUGUGUGUUCCAGGUAAAUCCGGUUCACUUUAACACUGAGGCGUGAUGACGAGGCACUACGGUGCUGAAGUAACAAAUGCCCUGCUUCCAGGAAAAGCCUCUAAGCAUCAGGUAACAUCAAAUCGUACCCCAAACCGACACAGGUGGUCAGGUAGAGAAUACCAAGGCGCUUGAGAGAACUCGGGUGAAGGAACUAGGCAAAAUGGUGCCGUAACUUCGGGAGAAGGCACGCUGACACGUAGGUGAAGUGAUUUACUCACGGAGCUGAA